GAAGGGGUUAAAGUUAGACUGCUAACCUAACAACCCAAAACUAACAUUUUGGCCACUUCUA
This 61-nucleotide transfer RNA is filed under the name Hemidactylus macropholis. RNAcentral's name for it is "tRNA-Ser". The record is from RNAcentral. Lineage: Eukaryota; Metazoa; Chordata; Lepidosauria; Squamata; Gekkonidae.